RNAcentral lists this ribosomal RNA (380 nucleotides) under uncultured eukaryote. RNAcentral describes it as "SSU rRNA". It matches the Rfam family "Eukaryotic small subunit ribosomal RNA", at positions 587 to 972 of the family's 1831-position model. The record is from RNAcentral.
AGCUCCAAUAGCGUAUAUUAAAGUUGUUGCGGUAAAAAAGCUCGUAGUUGGAUUUCUGUUGAAAACAACCGGUCUACUCAACGAGUACGCAUCUGGUUUGGUUUCGGCAUCCUCUCGCUAGACGACUCUGCGCUUGAUUGCGUGGAUCGGAUAACGGGACUUUUACUUUGAGGAAAUUAGAGUGUUCACGGCAGGCUAUCGCCAGGAUACAUUAGCAUGGAAUAAUACUAUAGGAUCUUGAUCCUAUUUUGUUGGUUUCUAGGAGCAAGAUAAUGAUUAAUAGGGACAAUUGGGGGCAUUCGUAUCAACACGUCAGAGGUGGAAUUCUUGGAUUGUGUUGCGACGAACUACUGCGAAAGCAUUUGCCAAGGAUGUUUUCA